UUCGCAAUGCCCGAAAGGGUGACGAAGCGACGCCGCGUGGAUGAAGAAGGCCUUCGGGUUGUAAAAUCCUGUCAGGAGUUAAGAAAUGUAGGUGCGAUAAUACCGUGCCUAUUUGACAAAGGCUCCAAAGGAAGCCACGGCUAACUCUGUGCCAGCAGCCGCGGUAAUACAGAGGUGGCAAGCGUUGUUCGGAAUUAUUGGGCGUAAAGAGCACGUAGGUGGGUUUGCAAGUCAGAUGUGAAAGCCUUCUGUUCAACGGAAGAAUUGCAUCUGAAACUGCUAAUCUUGAGUAUAGGAGGGGAGAAUGGAACUUCUGGUGGAGCGGUGAAAUGCGUAGAUAUCAGAAGGAACGCCGGCGGCGAAAGCGACUCUCUGGCCUAUAACUGACACUGAGUGUGCGAAAGCUAGGGGAGCAAACGGGAUUAGAUACCCCGGUAGUCCUAGCCGUAAACGAUGGGCACUAAGU
RNAcentral lists this ribosomal RNA (466 nucleotides) under uncultured Candidatus Scalindua sp. RNAcentral's name for it is "bacterial SSU rRNA". It matches the Rfam family "Bacterial small subunit ribosomal RNA", at positions 365 to 821 of the family's 1533-position model. The record is from RNAcentral. Lineage: Bacteria; Pseudomonadati; Planctomycetota; Candidatus Brocadiia; Candidatus Brocadiales; Candidatus Scalinduaceae.